CAGUAGCCACGGUAACACGGAGGGGGCUAGCGUUGUUCGGAAUUACUGGGCGUAAAGCGCACGUAGGCGGCUUGGUAAGUUAGAGGUGAAAGCCUGGAGCUCAACUCCAGAAUUGCCUUUAAGACUGCCGAGCUAGCAGGUGAGAGAGGUAAGUGGAAUUCCGAGUGUAGAGGUGAAAUUCGUAGAUAUUCGGAGGAACACCGGUGGCGAAAGCGGCUCUCUGGCUUGUAACUGACGCUGAGGCUCGAAAGCGUGGGGAGCAAACAGGAUUAGAUACCCGUGUAGUCCCUGUCUCUUAUAC
RNAcentral lists this ribosomal RNA (301 nucleotides) under uncultured bacterium. Its description in RNAcentral is "partial 16S ribosomal RNA". It matches the Rfam family "Bacterial small subunit ribosomal RNA", at positions 509 to 807 of the family's 1533-position model. The record is from RNAcentral.